RNAcentral lists this long non-coding RNA (1092 nucleotides) under Homo sapiens (human). Its description in RNAcentral is "HSALNT0289938". Lineage: Eukaryota; Metazoa; Chordata; Mammalia; Primates; Hominidae. The record is from RNAcentral.
ACAAGAGUGAAACUCUGUCUCAAAAAAACAAACAAACAAAAAACAACAACAACAAAAAAGAUACCUGAGUAGCCACUGAUCCAAGCCAGAUGAAAGGCCCGCAGCUCAGAGAGAUCAGAUAACUGCUCACCAUAGAGAAGCUCCUCGAGAGACUAAGCCUGGAUACAAAUGUUGGCCUUCUCACUCCAAAUCUUCUUCCUGCAUUCCCACAACAGGCUCAGCGGGGCAUCAUGAGACAGAAAAGCAAAUGAGAAAGGGCCCCAAGCUCAUGCGCGCUCUGACCCUCUUGUAUGCUUUCACCCACUUAUGGGAGAAUGGGUCCUCACAUAUCUCGAGAAGGUUAAAUGGAGACUCAUCUUCAUCAUGGGUUUGGAUUCCCUUGUGAGGCUUCCACGGACAUACGGGGAGGGCUUCUCCAGAGAGGGUUUGGAUUUGCUGCUGUCAAAGGGAGGCAUCCCUGGACCACAUUAAUAAUUUGAAGCCGAACUGCAGACCUGCACGUGGCACAGCUCCAGGCUGUUUGUUGUUGGGGCAGAUUUUUAUUUUUUCAUCCUGAACCCAGGUAGAGGUGUCUGCAUUUCCUCAUCUCUCCCCAUACAGGUGGUGUCUACAGCAUCUCUAAGGCUGCCACAACUGACGCAGCACUUUUAGUCAGGGGUCUUGCCUCUGAAUCCCCAGUUGCAUGGAUUCAUUUGCUGUUGACACUUUGGUGUUAAAGCCCAAGUUCUUGUUUACAAACAUACCUUUCCACUUCAUCUACCUACUUUACCUGCACACCUCACCUCCUCACCUCACCGUCUGUCUCACCUGUACAUCUCACCUACCCACCUCACCUGACCACUUUACCUGUGCACCUUACCUGCACAUCUCACCUCCUCACCUCACCUGACCACUUCACCUGCCCAAACCACCUCCCCAUCUCCCCUGUACAUCUCACCUGCCCAUUUCACUGGCAUACUUCAGCUCCCCACCUCACCUGCCCAUCUCACCUGCGCACCUCACCUGCCCACUUCACCCUGGAGCAGCAGCCUUAGCUCAGGGCUCACCAUAUUUGCUUUCAAUUCUGUCUUAAUGCUUGAGACCAGAGGGUGU